RNAcentral lists this ribosomal RNA (312 nucleotides) under Triticum aestivum (bread wheat). Its description in RNAcentral is "partial small subunit ribosomal RNA". Lineage: Eukaryota; Viridiplantae; Streptophyta; Magnoliopsida; Poales; Poaceae. The record is from RNAcentral.
AUGGAGCUCUUUAAUGCUCGUUCUGAUCACUGGGCCACUCUGACACGGUUUGCACCUGCCGUGCAGGCUAGGUAUAUGGACAUGAGGGACUUGUACCCCGUGCGGUCUGGUCUGCCAGAUUGUAUGGAAUGGCGUGAUGUAGGAGGCAUCACCCCUCCUCGUGGACCCCGUCUGCCAGCGUUUGUUGGACCAAGGCCACACCCGAGUCCUUAUGGACCGCAAGCUCCACAGGACCGACUGUUUCCAGAUGAUCAUGUUCAGCUUCCAGGACAUGGCGGUGAUUUCUAUGAAGAUUACUACAGAGACGUCUGA